RNAcentral lists this ribosomal RNA (465 nucleotides) under Vreelandella stevensii. RNAcentral's name for it is "partial 16S ribosomal RNA". It matches the Rfam family "Bacterial small subunit ribosomal RNA", at positions 338 to 795 of the family's 1533-position model. Lineage: Bacteria; Pseudomonadati; Pseudomonadota; Gammaproteobacteria; Oceanospirillales; Halomonadaceae. The record is from RNAcentral.
CCUACGGGGUGCAGCAGUGGGGAAUAUUGGACAAUGGGCGAAAGCCUGAUCCAGCCAUGCCGCGUGUGUGAAGAAGGCCUUCGGGUUGUAAAGCACUUUCAGUGUGGAAGAAAGCCUUUGGGCUAAUACCCUCGAGGAAGGACAUCACCCACAGAAGAAGCACCGGCUAACUCCGUGCCAGCAGCCGCGGUAAUACGGAGGGUGCGAGCGUUAAUCGGAAUUACUGGGCGUAAAGCGCGCGUAGGCGGUCUGAUAAGCCGGUUGUGAAAGCCCCGGGCUCAACCUGGGAACGGCAUCCGGAACUGUCAGGCUAGAGUGCAGGAGAGGAAGGUAGAAUUCCCGGUGUAGCGGUGAAAUGCGUAGAGAUCGGGAGGAAUACCAGUGGCGAAGGCGGCCUUCUGGACUGACACUGACGCUGAGGUGCGAAAGCGUGGGUAGCAAACAGGAUUAGAUACCCCGGUAGUC